CUACGGGCGGCUGCAGUGGGGAAUAUUGGACAAUGGGCGAAAGCCUGAUCCCGCCAUGCCGCGUGUGUGAAGAAGGCCUUCGGGUUGUAAAGCACUUUCAGUGGGGAAGAAAGCCUUGGGGCUAAUACCCUCGAGGAAGGACAUCACCCACAGAAGAAGCACCGGCUAACUCCGUGCCAGCAGCCGCGGUAAUACGGAGGGUGCGAGCGGUAAUCGGAAUUACUGGGCGUAAAGCGCGCGUAGGCGGUCUGAUAAGCCGGUUGUGAAAGCCCCGGGCUCAACCUGGGAACGGCAUCCGGAACUGUCAGGCUAGAGUGCAGGAGAGGAAGGUAGAAUUCCCGGUGUAGCGGUGAAAUGCGUAGAGAUCGGGAGGAAUACCAGUGGCGAAGGCGGCCUUCUGGACUGACACUGACGCUGAGGUGCGAAAGCGUGGGUAGCAAACAGGAUUAGAUACCCCUGUAGUC
Molecule: ribosomal RNA, 464 nt
Filed under: Vreelandella stevensii
Lineage: Bacteria; Pseudomonadati; Pseudomonadota; Gammaproteobacteria; Oceanospirillales; Halomonadaceae
Description: partial 16S ribosomal RNA
Rfam family: Bacterial small subunit ribosomal RNA
Source: RNAcentral